Molecule: long non-coding RNA, 893 nt
Organism: Capsicum annuum
Lineage: Eukaryota; Viridiplantae; Streptophyta; Magnoliopsida; Solanales; Solanaceae
Exons: 2
Source: RefSeq, a predicted model, not a curated record
AUUCGCUUUGAAGGAAACAAAUGCAGAUGGCAAGAUUACACAAAUCUCCAAUUUAUGCGUGAAACAAAAAGUCAACAUCGUGGCAGAGCCAAUCUUUGCCAGUGCUGAUCCAUCACCAGAGGCAACAACACCAAAUGCAAGUGUUUGUAUCUCUAGCUCUUCCAAAAUUUUGAGCAUCAGGUCGGACAGAUUUAAAAAGACGCUACUCAUGAUAGCGCAAACGGGAAAAGACAUCUAAAUGUGUCCACCUCCAUCUCUGAAUACAAGUCACUUGAUCCAUUGGCAGCAACCAUUCGAAAUUUGCGGCUGAAGACACGACAAGGGAUUCCUGGCAUGGUAGACUUGAAAGAGUCGUGCUUGGUUGGAGGAAAAGCUUCAUGGAUGGGCUACCUUGGAUAUAUACUGUUUGGAUGCUGAUGUUUCCCUGUUUAAUGCUGCAUUAUGAUCUGCAGUUGCUGCAUUUUCACAUUUGAACAUUCCAGUAGUGUCUUUGAAUGAUGACAGGCAAAUAGUUCUUAUUUCUAAGUUGUUUGGAUGCUGACAGUCCCUAUUUGAUGUUGCAUUGCUAUCUGCAAUUGCUUUCUUUUCACAUUUGAACAUUUGAAUAGUGUCUUUGAAUGAAGAUGGGCGAAUAGUUCUUGUUUCUGAGGACAAUGUCCAAUUGAAUUGGAGAAGCAGCCUGUAAAUACAGGGAAAUGGAACUGUCUGAAUAAGCUUUUUCCAUUCUCCUGAUUCUUUUUCUCUUGCAAACUAGACAGCAUCUUCACUAUGUUAUGCAGGUUUCUAUCUCUAUCAGUGCCACUGACUACUAUUCACAAUUACAGAUUUGAUUUUCCAUUGGUAAAUUUUCUUCCCUUGUAAAUGAUUUGUAAGUUUAUACCUUUUAAUUCCAA